Molecule: RNA transcript, 2125 nt
Organism: Oncorhynchus tshawytscha (Chinook salmon)
Lineage: Eukaryota; Metazoa; Chordata; Actinopteri; Salmoniformes; Salmonidae
Gene name: zinc finger CCHC domain-containing protein 24-like
Exons: 5
Source: RefSeq, a predicted model, not a curated record
AAUGUUUGUAAAAUCCCCUAUGGGAAAAAUUAUUGGAACCAUUUUCCUGAUUGACCGCAAGGUUUUAUGGGUAUUGUGACAUCUCCACUGUGGGGCUCUAUCAGACCUCCUAGCUAUUCACAAUGAAGCACUCCAAUAACCGAGAGAGAAUAUGCAAUGAGCUGAUCUCAUCCCAGCUGUGGUCUACGGUGAGUGGAGAUGGGCUACAGAGUGGAGUCCACAUAUAUUUUGACUGGCACACACGUUUUACCCUGUCAUGCCUUCAUCACGGUUCUCCCGUGACCGUGAAUGCAAGGAUCUUUUUUUUUAUCAGGUUAAAGAGGUCGAAAGGAUUUCUUUUUGUAUCAGGUUUAGGUGAUUUGGUUUUGGUAGCCUAAUUCUGCAGCAAUAACUCCGGAGGCGCUUUAACUUCCAAGACGCGCUGUGCGUUCCUCUUCCAAAGAUCAACAUGAUGUCUGCCAUAGAUACGGGUACAUCUGUGUACCAACCAGCACAACUACUGAACUGGAUCUAUAUGUCUCUACAAGACUCCCACCAGACCAAUGACUUCGAAGCGUUCAGACCGGAUUCUGAGAGUUCUCCACCGGACGAGAACAACUACAAACAGCGGUCCGCUGCUGCUGUCGACCUGAGCUCUGCGCUCAACUCAAACUAUCUUAACAAUUUCUUGCAACUUCAGAGAAAUGAGGCCUUAAACAACCAUUUGUAUAGAAGGUCCUCUCCUUACGGCUCACUCAGCAACAUCGUAGACGGCCUGAGUUCUCUGACGGACCACUUCUCUGACCUCUCCGUCUCCUCUGAGUCACGCAAACCCAGCAAGCGACCUCCGCCCAACUACCUGUGUCAUCUCUGCUUCAACAAAGGACACUACAUCAAAGACUGUCCUCAGGCUCGGCCGAAAGGGGAAGGCCAGACCCCAUAUCAGGGCAAGAAGAGAUGUUUCGGGGAAUACAAGUGCCCUAAAUGCAAGAGGAAGUGGAUGAGUGGGAACUCCUGGGCCAACAUGGGACAAGAAUGUAUCAAGUGCCACAUCAACGUUUACCCUCACAAGCAGAGACCUCUGGAGAAACCUGAUGGGUUAGAUGUUUCAGACCAGAGCAAGGAGCACCCACAGCACCUGUGUGAAAAAUGCAAGGUCCUCGGGUACUACUGUCGUCGCGUGCAAUAAUAACCUGUCGUUAUCUGGCCGCAAGUUCAUGGAGUUACCCUCUAGACACUGAUCUUGGAGACUGCUGUGGGUCAAAACCAUAUCUUCAGAGACUGCUGUGGGUCAGAACCAUAUCUUCAGAGACUGCUGUGGGUCAGAACCAUAUCUUCAGAGACUGCUGUGGGUCAGAACCAUAUCUUCCCAGACUGCUGUGGGUCAGAACCAUAUCUUCAGAGACUGCUGUGGGUCAGAACCAUAUCUUCAGAGACUGCUGUGGAUCAGAACCAUAUCUUCAGAGACUGCUGUGGGUCAGAACCAUAUCUUCAGAGACUGCUGUGGAUCAGAACCAUAUCUUCCCAGACUGCUGUGGGUCAGAACCAUAUCUUCAGAGACUGCUGUGGGUCAGAACCAUAUCUUCAGAGACUGCUGUGGGUCAAAACCAGGUCUUACGAGACUGCCUUGGGUCAAAACCAGAUCUUCAGAGACUGCUGUGGAUCAGAACCAUAUCUUCCCAGACUGCUGUGGGUCAGAACCAUAUCUUCAGAGACUGCUAUGGGUCAGAACCAUAUCUUAUGAGACUGAUGUGGUUCAAAAUAUUCAGUAUCAGUAGCUGAUGAAAGCACAUAUUGCAGUAUCGUAUACCCACUGUACACACAGUGCCUUCAGAAAUUAUUGAGACCCCUUGACUUUUUCCAUAUUUUGUUACAUUAGACUUAUUCUAAAAAUGGAUUUUAAAAAAUUACAUCCUCCGUAACUACACCAUAAUGACAAAGCAAAACAGGUUUAAUUUUUUUUCUUCAAAUGUAUUACAAAUAAAAUACAGAUACCUUUUUUAAAUAAGUAUUCAGACCCUUUGCUAUGUGACUCAGGUGCAUCCUGUUACUAUUGAUUAUCCUUGACAGGUUUCUACAACUUGACGUGUUGUAAAUUCAAUUGAUUGGACAUGAUUGGAAAAGGCACACACCUGUCUAUAUAAGG